RNAcentral lists this ribosomal RNA (427 nucleotides) under uncultured bacterium. Its description in RNAcentral is "partial 16S ribosomal RNA". It matches the Rfam family "Bacterial small subunit ribosomal RNA", at positions 355 to 774 of the family's 1533-position model. The record is from RNAcentral.
UGGGGAAUAUUGCACAAUGGGCGCAAGCCUGAUGCAGCCAUGCCGCGUGUAUGAAGAAGGCCUUCGGGUUGUAAAGUACUUUCAGCGGGGAGGAAGGUGUUGAGGCUAAUAACCUCAGCAAUUGACGUUACCCGCAGAAGAAGCACCGGCUAACUCCGUGCCAGCAGCCGCGGUAAUACGGAGGGUGCAAGCGUUAAUCGGAAUUACUGGGCGUAAAGCGCACGCAGGCGGUCUGUCAAGUCGGAUGUGAAAUCCCCGGGCUCAACCUGGGAACUGCAUUCGAAACUGGCAGGCUAGAGUCUUGUAGAGGGGGGUAGAAUUCCAGGUGUAGCGGUGAAAUGCGUAGAGAUCUGGAGGAAUACCGGUGGCGAAGGCGGUCCCCUGGACAAAGACUGACGCUCAGGUGCGAAAGCGUGGGGAGCAAACA